Molecule: long non-coding RNA, 2529 nt
Organism: Nicotiana tabacum (common tobacco)
Lineage: Eukaryota; Viridiplantae; Streptophyta; Magnoliopsida; Solanales; Solanaceae
Source: RefSeq, a predicted model, not a curated record
AAAUGUCUCUUUGCUCGAUUUCUUUUCUGCAGUACCACUUGUUUGCUCUCUUCCUUCUCUGUAAAAUUCUCAAUGUUCUUUCCGGUCGAAAAUCUCAAAUGUCUCAAAUCUAUCUACUCAAAUCACAAAAUGUGAACCAUAUGGUAGAGAUUCAAAAGCCCUAAUUACAAAUUGUGACUCCAUCAGAGGAACCGACAGUGGUCUAAAGCUAAAGAAGGAAGGAGGAAAGUCUGAAGUUUGAAAAUCAUUACGAGGACUCAGAUUGCUAGAAGAACGUGAACAAAUGGCUAAGGAGUUGCAAAGGAAUAUAGAACAUAGUUGCAAAGGAAGUUGGAAAAAGAGUUGCAAAAGAAGUUGGAGGAUGUGCAUGAACACGUGAACGCAGAAGUAGAUAAGAGGAUCCAAGAGCAAUUGGCUACUAUCAUAGCCAAAAUGCAACAUCCAGCAUUUUGCUCGAGCUACUGCGGCUGCUGCUUCCAACAGGUAAUGUGUGCCCUUCUUCUCUCUUAAAAUUAACUUGGUUUUUCAUAGUUUAGCUUCUAAUUCUAAUGUGGGGGUUAUUCUAUUGAACUAAUUAAUUGUUUAAAUCACUCCAAAAGAAUUGAGAGGAAGUGAUUUUCGUGGAUUCUUGAAUUUUUUGUAUUUUAGCUUCCCAGAAUCUUCAAUUAAUUAUCUUAUUUGGGGGUUAAUUUAUUGUAGAUUUUGCUGUUGUAUUAAUCUUGGUGGCAAUACUAUAUGUGUGAUAAAUCUUUACUAGAGUUGUGGUUGCGCUUGAAUAAGAUUUUCGAUUUAUUUAUAUUAUUUGUUAUUUUGAUGAUGGUGUAUUCAGGCCAGCUAGUACGUAUCUUGAAUUUUAUUGGGUACUUAUUAUCUCCCAUCAACAUAUGUAUCGGGUAACUCUGUUCACCAAGGCUUCGACGUAUGGAAAAAAAUUUACCCAUUUUUUUUUGUUUUCUCUAAGAUUUGAACGUGAGACCUUAUGGUUCUCGUCGCACUUCAUUGACCACUAAAAUCAGAUUCACGAUUUAUGAAGUGACUGCCAAAUGAAUAUGCGAAGGAGGCAAUCUCUUUUGGUUCUGAUUUUAUGGUUUGUCGAAAGAGAAGUAGUUGUAGUUAGUGUAAAAACUUGACAGGAAAGUAGUUUUGGUUUGUUUUUAAUGAAUAAAACUGAUUGGAUUAAUCAUGUUGUUACAAGGAGUUCUUUUAUACAUCUAUUGAUAUUUAAGGCUAGUGGUGAAAAAAGUUUGUUUAUCGAUGAUUCCACGAAAAUAUCAUAUUAUCUUCUACCUAUGCGCGUGCAAUAAUUCUACUAGUUUUUGCUUGUGAGUUACCACUGUCGUUCUACGGUUGUUUCUUCAGAGAUUUAUAGAAGUGCGUUGUCCUUAACAUUGGUAACCUGUUGUACAUUUCAACCUAGAGACAUAAGUUCUGAUUUUCUACUUAUUAUUUCGCUGAACUUACUUUUCUUUGAUCAUGCAACUCCUCAUGACUAGGAGACCUCUCUACUACAUGAACUUUUGUAGUAUUUAAAAAUUUGACAUCUAUUGGUAUGAAAUCUCCUCUUACAACCAAAAUGUCUCCGUCAAAAUAGAUAUUGAACCAUUUGUUUGAAUUAUUAACAUACAUAUCAUACCCAUUUGACAUGGAAGUGUCAAGCCAGGUGAUGAGUAAAUGCAAUAGAAAAUUAAAGGUGAAGCUAGUUCUAAAGGUAUUUUGAUGACAAGACAUAGAGGCUUAUUGCUGCUAAUUCUUAAGAUCUACAUUCUCCUAUUUCAUUGCACUUCUUAUAUUUCAUGGAUGCAGUUCCUUUUUGGUAGUGAGGGGUGGGUUGGUUUAGUUUUAUUGAUAUAUACUCAUUUAUGUUUGAUCAAUUUUAGUUUUGUGGGACGACAAUAGCAUUUAUAUCUAGAACUCAGCCUAUGGCACAUGGAACAUGUCAACUCAAGAUAAACCAGUAAGAGUUCAGGUUAUUAUGUACAGUUCAGGUUAUUAUGUACACAGUUCGUAACAACAGAAAAAAUGGUGUUGGAUGACUAAAUGCUAUUUUCCCACUAUACUAUGUUGACAAGAGUGGGUUGCUCUAGUGGUGAGCACCCUCCACUUCCAGAAAAAAUGGUGUUGGAUGACUAAAAUCUACUGCCACUUUGAGAAUGCAAAACUAUUUAAGAUAUUAUUUAUGUGGAAAUGCAAAAGUGUCUUUUAACUUAUAACACAGCGUCCAUGUAACUAAAUAGUUCAUCUUGUUGGAAUUUUUGUUCUUUGUUGGAUUUUGAUCUUUUAUUUUUUCCUCUUGAAAACAGGGACAAGGUUCUUGAACAAUCACAAAUGACGAUGAUCAAGGAGUUUAAAGACAUUUAAUGUUUAGUUUUUUCUUUUUUUUUUUUUUGUGGUCAAAAGGCAUCGACCAAGGAGUAGUUUAAAGUGUGAAGACAUUUAAUGUAUUGUUUUUCCUUUGCCAUGUGUAAAUGCAUACAAUGGCAAAAACAAGAAAGUAUUGGGCAGUGUAUUAGCUAAUUGACUAUAUAGUAA